UACAGAGACUGCAAGCGUUAUUCGGAUUUACUGGGCGUAAAGGGUGCGUAGGCGGCCAUGUGUGUGAGGCGUGAAAGCCCGGGGCUUAACCCCGGAAUUGCACCUCAAACUACAUGGCUAGAGCAUUGGAGAGGGUAGCGGAAUUCAUGGUGUAGCAGUGAAAUGCGUAGAUAUCAUGAGGAAUACCAGAGGCGAAGGCGGCUGCCUGGACAAUUGCUGACGCUCAUGCACGAAAGCGUGGGGAGCAAAACGG
This 253-nucleotide ribosomal RNA is filed under the name uncultured bacterium. Its description in RNAcentral is "partial 16S ribosomal RNA". It matches the Rfam family "Bacterial small subunit ribosomal RNA", at positions 524 to 776 of the family's 1533-position model. The record is from RNAcentral.